GAUGAACGCUGGCGGCGUGCCUAAUACAUGCAAGUCGAGCGAACGGACGAGAAGCUUGCUUCUCUGAUGUUAGCGGCGGACGGGUGAGUAACACGUGGAUAACCUACCUAUAAGACUGGGAUAACUUCGGGAAACCGGAGCUAAUACCGGAUAAUAUUUUGAACCGCAUGGUUCAAAAGUGAAAGACGGUCUUGCUGUCACUUAUAGAUGGAUCCGCGCUGCAUUAGCUAGUUGGUAAGGUAACGGCUUACCAAGGCAACGAUGCAUAGCCGACCUGAGAGGGUGAUCGGCCACACUGGAACUGAGACACGGUCCAGACUCCUACGGGAGGCAGCAGUAGGGAAUCUUCCGCAAUGGGCGAAAGCCUGACGGAGCAACGCCGCGUGAGUGACGAAGGUCUUCGGAUCGUAAAACUCUGUUAUUAGGGAAGAACAUAUGUGUAAGUAACUGUGCACAUCUUGACGGUACCUAAUCAGAAAGCCACGGCUAACUACGUGCCAGCAGCCGCGGUAAUACGUAGGUGGCAAGCGUUAUCCGGAAUUAUUGGGCGUAAAGCGCGCGUAGGCGGUUUUUUAAGUCUGAUGUGAAAGCCCACGGCUCAACCGUGGAGGGUCAUUGGAAACUGGAAAACUUGAGUGCAGAAGAGGAAAGUGGAAUUCCAUGUGUAGCGGUGAAAUGCGCAGAGAUAUGGAGGAACACCAGUGGCGAAGGCGACUUUCUGGUCUGUAACUGACGCUGAUGUGCGAAAGCGUGGGGAUCAAACAGGAUUAGAUACCCUGGUAGUCCACGCCGUAAACGAUGAGUGCUAAGUGUUAGGGGGUUUCCGCCCCUUAGUGCUGCAGCUAACGCAUUAAGCACUCCGCCUGGGGAGUACGACCGCAAGGUUGAAACUCAAAGGAAUUGACGGGGACCCGCACAAGCGGUGGAGCAUGUGGUUUAAUUCGAAGCAACGCGAAGAACCUUACCAAAUCUUGACAUCCUUUGACAACUCUAGAGAUAGAGCUUUCCCCUUCGGGGGACAAAGUGACAGGUGGUGCAUGGUUGUCGUCAGCUCGUGUCGUGAGAUGUUGGGUUAAGUCCCGCAACGAGCGCAACCCUUAAGCUUAGUUGCCAUCAUUAAGUUGGGCACUCUAAGUUGACUGCCGGUGACAAACCGGAGGAAGGUGGGGAUGACGUCAAAUCAUCAUGCCCCUUAUGAUUUGGGCUACACACGUGCUACAAUGGACAAUACAAAGGGCAGCGAAACCGUGAGGUCAAGCAAAUCCCAUAAAGUUGUUCUCAGUUCGGAUUGUAGUCUGCAACUCGACUACAUGAAGCUGGAAUCGCUAGUAAUCGUAGAUCAGCAUGCUACGGUGAAUACGUUCCCGGGUCU
This 1372-nucleotide ribosomal RNA is filed under the name uncultured bacterium. RNAcentral describes it as "bacterial SSU rRNA". It matches the Rfam family "Bacterial small subunit ribosomal RNA", at positions 28 to 1381 of the family's 1533-position model. The record is from RNAcentral.